UACGGAGGGAGCUAGCGUUGUUCGGAAUUACUGGGCGUAAAGCGCGCGUAGGCGGCUUUGUAAGUUAGAGGUGAAAGCCCGGGGCUCAACCCCGGAAUUGCCUUUAAGACUGCAUCGCUUGAAUCCGGGAGAGGUGAGUGGAAUUCCGAGUGUAGAGGUGAAAUUCGUAGAUAUCGAGAGGAACACCGGUGGCGAAGGCGGCCAACUGGACGAAUACUGACGCUGAGACUCGAAAGCGUGGGGAGCAAACAGG
Molecule: ribosomal RNA, 253 nt
Filed under: uncultured bacterium
Lineage: Bacteria
Description: partial 16S ribosomal RNA
Rfam family: Bacterial small subunit ribosomal RNA
Source: RNAcentral